CGGAGGAUCCAAGCGUUAUCCGGAUUUAUUGGGUUUAAAGGGUGCGUAGGUGGCCUAUUAAGUCAGGGGUGAAAGACGGUAGCUUAACUAUCGCAGUGCCUUUGAUACUGAUGGGCUUGAAUACAGUUGAAGUAGGCGGAAUGUGACAAGUAGCGGUGAAAUGCAUAGAUAUGUCACAGAACACCGAUUGCGAAGGCAGCUUACUAAAGUGUGAUUGACACUGAGGCACGAAAGCGUGGGAUCAAACAGGAUU
Molecule: ribosomal RNA, 253 nt
Filed under: uncultured bacterium
Lineage: Bacteria
Description: partial 16S ribosomal RNA
Rfam family: Bacterial small subunit ribosomal RNA
Source: RNAcentral